UUCCUGAUAGCUGAGUUGAUAAAGAAUCCGCCUGCAAAGCAGGAGACCCCGGUUCCAUUUCUGGGUCUGGAAG
Molecule: non-coding RNA, 73 nt
Organism: Bos taurus (domestic cattle)
Lineage: Eukaryota; Metazoa; Chordata; Mammalia; Artiodactyla; Bovidae
Source: Rfam